GUUAAGCGACUAAGCGUACACGGUGGAUGCCCUGGCAGUCAGAGGCGAUGAAGGACGUGCUAAUCUGCGAUAAGCGUCGGUGAGGUGAUAUGAACCGUUAUAACCGGCGAUUUCCGAAUGGGGAAACCCAGUGUGUUUCGACACACUAUCAUUAACUGAAUCCAUAGGUUAAUGAGGCGAACCGGGGGAACUGAAACAUCUAAGUACCCCGAGGAAAAGAAAUCAACCGAGAUUCCCCCAGUAGCGGCGAGCGAACGGGGAGGAGCCCAGAGCCUGAAUCAGUGUGUGUGUUAGUGGAAGCGUCUGGAAAGGCGCGCGAUACAGGGU
RNAcentral lists this ribosomal RNA (327 nucleotides) under Escherichia coli. RNAcentral's name for it is "partial 23S ribosomal RNA". It matches the Rfam family "Bacterial large subunit ribosomal RNA", at positions 1 to 365 of the family's 2925-position model. Lineage: Bacteria; Pseudomonadati; Pseudomonadota; Gammaproteobacteria; Enterobacterales; Enterobacteriaceae. The record is from RNAcentral.